RNAcentral lists this ribosomal RNA (449 nucleotides) under uncultured bacterium. Its description in RNAcentral is "partial 16S ribosomal RNA". It matches the Rfam family "Bacterial small subunit ribosomal RNA", at positions 29 to 523 of the family's 1533-position model. The record is from RNAcentral.
AACGAACGCUGGCGGCAUGCCUAACACAUGCAAGUCGAACGAAGGCUUCGGCCUUAGUGGCGCACGGGUGAGUAACGCGUGGGAAACUGCCUAUUGGUGGGGAAUAACGACGGGAAACUGUCGCUAAUACCGCAUAAGCCCUUCGGGGGAAAGAUUUAUCGCCGAUAGAUGUGCCCGCGUCCGAUUAGCUAGUUGGUGAGGUAAUGGCUCACCAAGGCGACGAUCGGUAGCUGGUCCGAGAGGAUGACCAGCCACACUGGGACUGAGACACGGCCCAGACUCCUACGGGAGGCAGCAGUGGGGAAUAUUGGACAAUGGGCGAAAGCCUGAUCCAGCAAUGCCGCGUGAGUGAUGAAGGCCUUAGGGUUGUAAAGCUCUUUCGGGUGGGACGAUGAUGACGGUACCACCAGAAGAAGCCCCGGCUAACUUCGUGCCAGCAGCCGCCGUAG